GGUGUUUCGCUUAGUCUUGGCCUUCCACACUGCGAAAACUAUCUCUCAAAUCAAACCAUUCAGUUUGGAAGCCGAAAUGAAACAGAAGAUAUCGACAAUCAUUUCAGUGGGAUUAACAUUCUGCAAGCUUCCCAUUCGAAUCCUGUGUACGAAAACAUGAACAUUCAAAACAAGAAGAGGUUUGCUGCUCAACUGUUACAAAAUUUUGUGGCAUAAUGAUUCAAGAACAGAAAGUACAAGAAUAUAGUGUCAUUUCUUAUUGCAUGGCACAUGCACCUUUUUUGUGUCACAUAGGAUAAGAUAGAAGAUAAUUAAGUUAGAAUAGGUUAUUAAACUUGUAAUAAAGUUCUGUUCAUUUGCAUGUAUGUAAUAUUUUGCAGCUGUAUAUAAGGGUGGCGAUCGCGUGUGGUACGUAGUUUAUAUGAUCAAAUGUCUGUUAUGCUUUAUAUCUGUCUUAAUUCGAUCCGUCUUUUAUUGGAGGUCUUUUUUUUGUAAAGCUUUUAAAUAGGCUCUUAAAAGGAUGCACGAUCAAAUUGUUUUAAAAAUAUUUUAAAUUGACUUUUAAAUUUUAUAAUAAUUUUUUAUUUUGAAAUCGGUCGUCAUAGGCUUUAUUAUGUGAAUUUGUCUUCCAUGUUAAUACUUUUGCUUAAUUGAAACCUGAACUUGGGGAAGGGACAACACGAAAAUUAAGGAAAACUUUUAAAAAAAGUAAAAUAAAAUUACCUUUUUCAUGAAACUCUUGCACUAUUUUUGUUAUCAAAGCAUAAGGAGUUUCUCUUGUAUUCGGACCAUGAGGAAUUGAAGCACUUAGGCAGUCAGCAGAAGUGAAGUGUCAAACAUGCCAAAUGGGUAAGGUACUUGUAAGAAUUGACUUUUGUAUUGAGACAGAAAUUGGGUGCAAAGAACAGAGUUGCAGAUGCUCUCAGUAGGAGAGUUAAUUAGUUUAUUGGCUACUUUGCGCCCUUAAGUGUUGGGUUUUGACACUUUCACCAGUUUGCUUGUUGAAG
RNAcentral lists this long non-coding RNA (1007 nucleotides) under Panax ginseng (ginseng). RNAcentral's name for it is "long non-coding RNA (PGIN_LNC005565)". The record is from RNAcentral. Lineage: Eukaryota; Viridiplantae; Streptophyta; Magnoliopsida; Apiales; Araliaceae.